Molecule: long non-coding RNA, 1227 nt
Filed under: Cyanistes caeruleus (blue tit)
Lineage: Eukaryota; Metazoa; Chordata; Aves; Passeriformes; Paridae
Description: lncRNA (ENSCCEG00000007645.1)
Source: RNAcentral
AUAAGAAACCACAGCAUUGGGUCUGCAGAGUACCUGAUGUGAACUGAUUGCCUUCAGUGGAAAUAUGAACACUAUGGGAGCCAGACCUAAAUGCCAUGCCACAGAAUGCUGGCAAACCCUUCCCUUACACCAAAAAUGAUUGCUCAGGCUGUGAAAGACAAAUUUUACGUGACAGCACAUGUCAGCAUCCACGUGGAGGUAUGGAAAGAGGGAAGGAGAUGGUGUAAAAUUAGGAGAGCUUUGAAAACUGAAAAACUCACCUGCAAACAUUUUGAGAGAUUUCAGUGUUUGAAGACAAGAUGGUCAAAUUAUGUUAAUUUUGGAGAUAUCUGAAAACCUGGUGUAUCAUUUUAGAGCUACAGACCCCCACAAUGUUUAAUCAUUUGUGCCAAGUUUAUUGGAAUUUUUUAUUUUUCCUUUAAAUGAGAAAGGCUCUUCAAACCUUGAAAAUUCAGUUUCAGAGUUCCAAAAGAAAUGUAUUUUGCAGCUUUUCCAUCCUUUUGGGUUCUUCUCCUCCCCCUCCACACUGCCUCUUGCACUCUUGUCUUUGGAGAGCAGAGUUUAACAUGCCUCUGAGGAGAUAGCCUGCAUGCAAAGUCCCUCAAACAUAAACACACUUCAGGAACAGAUUCACCCCAGUGCGCUUCCAAAUGUGGAAACCACAUUCCAUCUGCAUCCUUAUCAGCUGGUCAAUAGCUGGGAUGUUGAAUGGACAUUCCUUAAAGUGAAGGUUAUGAAAACACACAUUUACUUCUCAGCAGUGAUUCACCAGCUUCCCACCAGAUUCACCAACUCUCUCUGCCCAAGAGCAGUUGAGCUCAAAGCGGCUCACGCUGCGGACUUGGAGACUGUUGUGCAGGAAUUUGCCACACUGAGCUGCAAAACUCUCUUCAGGUGACUUCUCUGAUGGUUAAGAAGCCCUGUGUUCAUUCAACUCAGGUUUGCAGCUCUGUGACACCAAUGACUUCUGGGCUGUCACCCCAACAGAAAAAUCCGAGGCCAUGUGAGCAAGCUUGUCACACACCCUGCCUGAUGAUAAGAUGCAAACUGGGGAACUGUUGCCCAAGACUUUGUCACCUUGAGACUUGGCUGCAAUCCAAGGUAAGGCAGAGCCUGCAGAAUGCACUGAGCAGUGCAGAUGGAGGAAUGGCUACACAACUGUUUUUUCACGUUGGGAGCCUUAGGUCCAGUGGUAAUUUAUGCCUGUCCAGCCCCAAAGGCAGAUAA